CCUACGGGUGGCAGCAGUGAGGAAUAUUGGUCAAUGGGCGAGAGCCUGAACCAGCCAAGUCGCGUGAAGGAUGACGGCCCUACGGGUUGUAAACUUCUUUUGUCAGGGAGCAAUUGAGUCCACGUGUGGGCUUAGCGAGAGUACCUGAAGAAAAAGCAUCGGCUAACUCCGUGCCAGCAGCCGCGGUAAUACGGAGGAUGCGAGCGUUAUCCGGAUUUAUUGGGUUUAAAGGGAGCGUAGGUGGAUUGUUAAGUCAGUUGUGAAAGUUUGCGGCUCAACCGUAAAAUUGCAGUUGAAACUGGCAGUCUUGAGUACAGUAGAGGUGGGCGGAAUUCGUGGUGUAGCGGUGAAAUGCUUAGAUAUCACGAAGAACUCCGAUUGCGAAGGCAGCAUACCGGCGCUCAACUGACGCUCAUGCACGAAAGUGUGGGUAUCGAACAGGAUUAGAUACCCCUGUAGUC
Molecule: ribosomal RNA, 461 nt
Filed under: uncultured bacterium
Lineage: Bacteria
Description: partial 16S ribosomal RNA
Rfam family: Bacterial small subunit ribosomal RNA
Source: RNAcentral